AUACAAGAUGGCAUCAUGAGUUCACAUGUUCACAUGAUUAAAGGUAUUCCGGUAGACGAUGGGGAUGCGUUCCAUUAGAUAGUAGGCGGGGUAACGGCCCACCUAGUCUUCGAUGGAUAGGGGUUCUGAGAGGAAGGUCCCCCACAUUGGAACUGAGACACGGUCCAAACUCCUACGGGAGGCAGCAGUGAGGAAUAUUGGUCAAUGGGCGCAGGCCUGAACCAGCCAAGUAGCGUGAAGGAUGACCGCCCUAUGGGUUGUAAACUUCUUUUAUAAAGGAAUAAAGUCGGGUAUGUAUACCCGUUUGCAUGUACUUUAUGAAUAAGGAUCGGCUAACUCCGUGCCAGCAGCCGCGGUAAUACGGAGGAUCCGAGCGUUAUCCGGAUUUAUUGGGUUUAAAGGGAGCGUAGAUGGAUGUUUAAGUCAGUUGUGAAAGUUUGCGGCUCAACCGUAAAAUUGCAGUUGAUACUGGAUAUCUUGGGUGCAGUUGAGGCAGGCGGAAUUCGUGGUGUAGCGGUGAAAUGCUUAGAUAUCACGAAGAACUCCGAUUGCGAAGGCAGCCUGCUAAGCUGCAACUGACAUUGAGGCUUGAAAGUGUGGGUAUCAAACAGGAUUAGAUACCCU
Molecule: ribosomal RNA, 624 nt
Filed under: uncultured bacterium
Lineage: Bacteria
Description: bacterial SSU rRNA
Rfam family: Bacterial small subunit ribosomal RNA
Source: RNAcentral